UUCCUUGGAAAAGGACAGCUGAGAGGGUGAAACUCCCGUCCGCCUGGUAGAAUGAGUCUUUGUCAACGAGUCGAGUUGUUUGGGAUUGCAGCUCUAAUUUGGUGGUAAAUUCCAUCUAAAGCUAAAUAUUGGUGGGAGACCGAUAGCGUACAAGUACCGUGAGGGAAAGAUGCAAAGAACUUUGAAAAGAGAGUUAAAGAGUACCUGAAAUUGCUGAAACGGAAGCGAAGGAAACCAGUGUUUGUUGGUUCAUAUUUCCUUGGCCACUUGUGGUUUGGGCG
RNAcentral lists this ribosomal RNA (281 nucleotides) under Pseudo-nitzschia fraudulenta. RNAcentral's name for it is "partial 28S ribosomal RNA". It matches the Rfam family "Eukaryotic large subunit ribosomal RNA", at positions 186 to 475 of the family's 3401-position model. Lineage: Eukaryota; Bacillariophyta; Bacillariophyceae; Bacillariales; Bacillariaceae. The record is from RNAcentral.